CCUACGGGCGGCAGCAGUGAGGAAUAUUGGUCAAUGGCCGGAAGUCUGAACCAGCCAAGUCGCGUGAGGGACGACUGCCCUAUGGGUUGUAAACCUCUUUUAUAAGGGAAGAAUGAAUACUACGUAUACCAUUAUGCCUGUACCUUAUGAAUAAGCAUCGGCUAACUCCGUGCCAGCAGCCGCGGUAAUACGGAGGAUCCGAGCGUUAUCCGGAUUUAUUGGGUUUAAAGGGUGCGUAGGCGGUGUUUUAAGUAAGUGGUUAAAUGUCGGGGCUAAACCUUGAUUUGCAAUUAAUACUGUGUGACUUGAGUUCAGCAGAGGUAGGCGGAAUAAGUUGAGUAGCGGUGAAAUGCUUAGAUAUCACGUAGAACUCCGAUAGCGAAGGCAGCUUACUGGACUGUGACUGACGCUGAUGCACGAGAGUGUGGGUAGCGAACAGGAUUAGAUACCCUAGUAGUC
This 459-nucleotide ribosomal RNA is filed under the name uncultured bacterium. RNAcentral describes it as "partial 16S ribosomal RNA". It matches the Rfam family "Bacterial small subunit ribosomal RNA", at positions 338 to 795 of the family's 1533-position model. The record is from RNAcentral.